AUGCUCAUCCCCUUGCUCCUCCUGCUCUUCUCCAGCCUACAGCUCCCUACGACUGCCAUCGACACCCUCGCUCUAGGCCAAGCACUCCCAUGGAACGAGACACUGGUGUCCAAGGGCGGCGAGUUCGAGCUCGGCUUCUUCUCCCUCGGCAACUCCGGCAAGCACUACGUCGGCAUCUGGUACAAGAAGAUCUCCAAGCAAACGGUCGUCUGGGUGGCGAACCGAGAGCACCCGGUUGUCAAGCCGUCGACCUCCCGCUUCAUGCUCAGCAUCCACGGCGAGCUGCUUCUCCUCACGACGCCGUCGGACACCUUGCUGUGGUCGUCCAACGCGUCCUCCCGGUCGCCCCUGAGCACCACCGUCGCCACGCUCCAGGACGACGGCAACCUCGUGGUGAGGCGGAGCAACGCGACGUCGUCGUCUGCCUACCUGGUGUGGCAGAGCUUCGACCACCCCACCGACACCUGGCUCCCCGGGGCCAGGCUCGGCUACAACAGGGGCGCCGGCGUCCACAGCUUCCUCACUUCGUGGUCGGACGCCGAGAACCCGGCGCCCGGCGCGUUCACGAUGGAGAUCGACGCGCGCGGGCAGCCCAAGUUCGACCUGUUUUCCGACGCCGGCGGCGGCGAGCACCGCCAGUACUGGACGACCGGCCUGUGGGACGGCGAGAUCUUCGUGAACGUGCCGGAGAUGCGGUCGGGCUACUUCGCCGGGUUCCCCUACGCGCGCAACGGCACUGUUAACUUCUUCAGCUACCACGACCGGAUCCCGAUGAUGGGCGCCGGCAACUUCAUGCUUGACGUCAACGGGCAGAUGCGGCGGCACCAGUGGAGCGACAUGGCCGGGAAGUGGAUCCUCUUCUGCUCGGAGCCGCACGACGCCUGCGACGUCCACGGUUCGUGCGGCCCCUUCGGGUUGUGCAGCAACACCACCAGCCCCGCAUGCCAGUGCCCCGCCGGCUUCGCGCCGCGGUCGGAGCAAGAGUGGAAGCUGAGGAACACCGCCUCCGGGUGCGAGAGGCGGACCUUACUGGACUGUACCAAAGACAGGUUCAUGCAGCUGCCGAACCCCGUGCAGCUCCCGAAUGGCUCGUCGGAGGCCGCCGGAGUUAGGGGUGACAGGGACUGCGAGCGCACUUGCUUGAAAGAUUGCUCCUGCACCGCGUACGUGUACGAUGGAACAAAGUGCUCCAUGUGGAAGGGCGAGCUCGUUAACUUGAGGGCCCUCUCGACUGACCAAGGUGGCGAUCCUGGCCUCGCCGGAGUUCUUCUUCACCUCCGCCUCGCGCGCUCGGAGGUGGCAGCGUCGUCAUCGUCACCGGGGCAUUCCUGGAAGAAAUCGAUGGUGAUCCUCGGGAGCGUAGUUGCGGCCGUGGUGGUGCUCCUGGCAAGCCUCGUGAUUGGGGUGGCGGCGGCGGUGAUGCUGCGGAGGCGGCGGGGGAAGGGGAAGGUGACGGCGGUGCAGGGGCAGGGCUCGCUGCUGCUGUUCGACUACCUGGCCAUGAGGACCGCCACGAGGAACUUCUCAGAGAAGCUCGGUGGCGGGAGCUUCGGCACGGUGUACAAGGGCGUACUCCCGGACGCGACGCCGGUGGCCGUGAAGAAGCUGGACGGGCUCCGGCAGGGCGAGAAGCAGUUCCGAGCCGAGGUGGUCACCCUGGGCGUGAUCCAGCACGUCAACCUCGUCCGCCUCCGGGGCUUCUGCUCCGAGGGGAACAAGAGGGCGCUCGUGUACGACUACAUGGCCAACGGCUCGCUGGACUCGUACCUGUUCAAGAGCGGGAGCGGCGGCUCGGCGGCGAAGGUGUUGAGCUGGGGCCAGAGGUACGGCGUCGCGCUGGGCAUGGCCAGGGGCCUGGCGUACCUCCACGAGAAGUGCCGCGAGUGCAUCAUACACUGCGACAUCAAGCCGGAGAACAUCCUCCUCGACGACGAGCUGGGCGCCAAGCUCGCGGACUUCGGCAUGGCCAAGCUCGUGGGCCACGACUUCAGCCGCGUGCUGACCACGAUGCGCGGCACGCUCGGGUACCUCGCGCCGGAGUGGCUCGCCGGCUCGCCGGUCACCGCCAAGGCGGACGUGUACAGCUUCGGCCUCGUGCUGUUUGAGCUCGUCUCCGGCCGGCGCAACAACUCCCCGUCGGAGAAGGGAGGCUACGGGAUGUACUUCCCGGUGCACGCCGCGGUGAGCCUGCAUGAGGGCGACGUGGUCGGGCUGCUCGAUGAGAGGCUGGCCAAGGAGGCCGAUGUGAAGGAGAUGGAGAGGCUCUGCAGGAUCGCCUGCUGGUGCAUCCAGGACGAGGAGGCUGACCGGCCGACCAUGGGGCUCGUCGUGCAGCAGCUUGAAGGAGUCGCCGACGUCGGCUUACCGCCGGUCCCGUCCCGGCUUCACAUGCUGGCAAAGGUGAACGCAGGCGCCGGUGGAGGUGAACAGGAUGAAUUCUAUUCAGAGAGCAGUAACAAAGUAGCGACAGAAAAGGCGUGA
This 2481-nucleotide ribosomal RNA is filed under the name Triticum aestivum (bread wheat). RNAcentral describes it as "partial small subunit ribosomal RNA". Lineage: Eukaryota; Viridiplantae; Streptophyta; Magnoliopsida; Poales; Poaceae. The record is from RNAcentral.